Molecule: ribosomal RNA, 253 nt
Filed under: uncultured bacterium
Lineage: Bacteria
Description: partial 16S ribosomal RNA
Rfam family: Bacterial small subunit ribosomal RNA
Source: RNAcentral
UACGUAGGGUGCGAGCGUUGUCCGGAAUUAUUGGGCGGAAAGAGCUUGUAGGCGGGUUGGCGCGUCUGCUGUGAAAAUCCGGGGCUCAACCCCGGACUUGCAGUGGGUACGGGCAGACUAGAGUGUGGUAGGGGAGACUGGAAUUCCUGGUGUAGCGGUGGAAUGCGCAGAUAUCAGGAGGAACACCGAUGGCGAAGGCAGGUCUCUGGGCCACUACUGACGCUGAGGAGCGAAAGCGUGGGGAGCAAACAGG